This 466-nucleotide ribosomal RNA is filed under the name uncultured bacterium. Its description in RNAcentral is "partial 16S ribosomal RNA". It matches the Rfam family "Bacterial small subunit ribosomal RNA", at positions 28 to 507 of the family's 1533-position model. The record is from RNAcentral.
GAUGAACGCUGGCGGCGUGCUUAACACAUGCAAGUCGAACGGAAAGGCUCCUGCUUGCAGGGGUACUCGAGUGGCGAACGGGUGAGUAACACGUGGGUGAUCUGCCCUGCACUUCGGGAUAAGCCUGGGAAACUGGGUCUAAUACCGGAUAGGACGAUGGUUUGGAUGCCAUUGUGGAAAGUUUUUUCGGUGUGGGAUGAGCUCGCGGCCUAUCAGCUUGUUGGUGGGGUAAUGGCCUACCAAGGCGUCGACGGGUAGCCGGCCUGAGAGGGUGUACGGCCACAUUGGGACUGAGAUACGGCCCAGACUCCUACGGGAGGCAGCAGUGGGGAAUAUUGCACAAUGGGCGCAAGCCUGAUGCAGCGACGCCGCGUGGGGGAUGACGGCCUUCGGGUUGUAAACUCCUUUCGCUGGGGACGAAGCGCAAGUGACGGUACCUGGAGAAGAAGCACCGGCUAACUACGUG